Molecule: transfer RNA, 76 nt
Filed under: bacterium
Lineage: Bacteria
Description: tRNA-Trp
Rfam family: tRNA
About the family: Transfer RNA (tRNA) molecules are approximately 80 nucleotides in length. Their secondary structure includes four short double-helical elements and three loops (D, anti-codon, and T loops).
Source: RNAcentral
GCCGGCGUAGCUCAAUUGGUAGAGCGGCGGUCUCCAAAACCGUGGGUUGCAGGUUCGAAUCCUGUCGCCGGUGCCA